AUUGGAUCAAAAAAUUUGGAAAGAUUGUGCUUCUAUUUGUAACUUUUCGGAACCUUUAGUUCGUGUGCUCAGAAUUGUUGAUAGUGAUGAAAGGCCAGCAAUGGGAUAUGUAUUUGGAGCAUUACAUUGUGCAGUAGAGGAGAUUGAGAAGAGGUUUCAGAAAAAGAAGAGAGCAAUCCAGCAACCUGUACUUAAAGCUAUAGAGGAGAGGUGGGAUAAGCACUUAAACAAAAAUCUGCACGCAGCUGGCUUUUGGUUUAACCCAACCAAUCAAUAUGAUGAAGAGCUUAUGUCAAAGUACCACACCACUACUUCUGGGGUUAUAGAUGUUAUUGAGAGAUAUGCAGCAAAAGAUCCAGCAUUGCGCAAGGCUUUGACAGCAGAGAUGAGGAUUUUCAGAGGGGCGGAAGGAGAUUUUGGUCGAGUGACUGCUAUUGCUGAUAGAGAUACAAUGCUUCCUGAUGAAUGGUGGUUGACUUAUGGAUGUAGUGCUCCAAAUUUGCAAAAGCUUGCAAUUCGUGUCUUAAGCCAAACUUGUAGUGCUUCCGGUUGUGAGAGAAAUUGGAGUUUGUUUGAGCACAUACAUUCCAAAAAGAGAAACUGACUUGAGCAUCAAGUGAUGAAUGAUAUGGCUUAUGUUCAAUGCAACUCUAGGCUGCAACAAAAGUCCCAACUCUCGAAACGAAACUAUGACCCAAUUUGUUUGGAGGACAUUGGCAAGUUUGCUGAAGAUUGGAUUCUUGAAGAUGAUCCCCAAGUGUUAAAUGUGGAAGAAAUUGAGAGAUAUAGAAAAGGUUUGGUGCCAAAUGACAAAGAGAUAUGCAAUGCCAUUGCCA
This is a long non-coding RNA of Lolium perenne, 836 nucleotides long. RefSeq lists it as uncharacterized. The record is from RefSeq and is a predicted model, not a curated record. NCBI's taxonomy places the organism in Eukaryota, Viridiplantae, Streptophyta, Magnoliopsida, Poales, Poaceae.